AGAGUUUGAUCAUGGCUCAGAUUGAACGCUGGCGGAAUGCUUUACACAUGCAAGUCGAACGGCAGCACGGGAGCUUGCUCCUGGUGGCGAGUGGCGAACGGGUGAGUAAUGCGUCGGAACGUACCGAGUAAUGGGGGAUAACGCAGCGAAAGUUGUGCUAAUACCGCAUACGCCCUGAGGGGGAAAGUGGGGGAUCGCAAGACCUCACGUUAUUCGAGCGGCCGACGUCUGAUUAGCUAGUUGGUGGGGUAAAGGCCUACCAAGGCGACGAUCAGUAGCGGGUCUGAGAGGAUGAUCCGCCACACUGGGACUGAGACACGGCCCAGACUCCUACGGGAGGCAGCAGUGGGGAAUUUUGGACAAUGGGGGCAACCCUGAUCCAGCCAUUCCGCGUGAGUGAAGAAGGCCUUCGGGUUGUAAAGCUCUUUCAGCUGGAACGAAACGGUGCGUUCUAACAUAGCGUGCUAAUGACGGUACCAGCAGAAGAAGCACCGGCUAACUACGUGCCAGCAGCCGCGGUAAUACGUAGGGUGCGAGCGUUAAUCGGAAUUACUGGGCGUAAAGCGUGCGCAGGCGGAUUGUUAAGCAAGAUGUGAAAUCCCCGGGCUUAACCUGGGAAUGGCAUUUUGAACUGGCAGUCUAGAGUGCGUCAGAGGGGGGUGGAAUUCCACGUGUAGCAGUGAAAUGCGUAGAGAUGUGGAGGAACACCGAUGGCGAAGGCAGCCCCCUGGGAUGACACUGACGCUCAUGU
RNAcentral lists this ribosomal RNA (751 nucleotides) under uncultured Pseudomonadota bacterium. RNAcentral describes it as "bacterial SSU rRNA". It matches the Rfam family "Bacterial small subunit ribosomal RNA", at positions 8 to 752 of the family's 1533-position model. Lineage: Bacteria; Pseudomonadati; Pseudomonadota. The record is from RNAcentral.